This 490-nucleotide ribosomal RNA is filed under the name uncultured bacterium. RNAcentral describes it as "bacterial SSU rRNA". It matches the Rfam family "Bacterial small subunit ribosomal RNA", at positions 30 to 516 of the family's 1533-position model. The record is from RNAcentral.
AUUGAACGCUGGCGGCAUGCCUUACACAUGCAAGUCGAACGGCAGCACGGGAGCAAUCCUGGUGGCGAGUGGCGAACGGGUGAGUAAAGCAUCGGAACGUGCCCAGUCGUGGGGGAUAACGUAGCGAAAGUUACGCUAAUACCGCAUACGAUCUGUGGAUGAAAGCGGGGGACCGUAAGGCCUCGCGCGAUUGGAGCGGCCGAUGUCAGAUUAGGUAGUUGGUGGGGUAAAGGCUCACCAAGCCGACGAUCUGUAGCUGGUCUGAGAGGACGACCAGCCACACUGGGACUGAGACACGGCCCAGACUCCUACGGGAGGCAGCAGUGGGGAAUUUUGGACAAUGGGCGCAAGCCUGAUCCAGCAAUGCCGCGUGCAGGAUGAAGGCCUCGGUUGUAACUAGCUUUGUUACGAACGAACGGUGAGCUCUAAUAAGACUUGCUAAUGACGGUACCGUAAGAAUAAGCACCGGCUAACUACGUAGCCAGCAGCC